AUCUUGCUAAUAACUAGAAAAACAUAUUACGAAAUAUGUGAUCAAAUUAAAAAAUAAUUAGACAAAUUAACUUGAACGAUACUAUUAUGGUAAUUGACAAAAAUGUACAUUUCACGUCAAACUUGCCCUUCUCCAAGAUGUUCACGAACUAUAUAAUUUCUUGAAUUUACCGUGACAGUUUCUUUGGAGCAUAGACAGCCCAUUUUUAAAAUUAAACUUAAACCAAGGCUAUUCAUUUUCAGUCACGCAUAAUAAAAGAAAUAAAAAAAACAGUAACACCGACGCGUUUCUUUAUCGGCGUGCAAACAUUUCUAUAUACGUCACGAACAUGCAUAUGUCACCAGUUACGAGUUACGAAUUACGAGUUACCAUGUCAAUGUCUACGUAUGCAUGUAUGUAUGUAAUCGGCUAUCAGCUGUUUGCAAAACAAUGUUGUUGGAGAUGUUACAUAAAUUAAUUAAUUCAAAUUUUUGAUAAAAAAAAAAUGUACAACGAGAAAACCAACAUUUAGAUUUACAACGAAAGAUUAUUUCAAAUUAUAUAAGAAUAAAUUACACAAUGAUACCGUAAGAUCCCGAUAUUUUUAUUAAAUUCAAGUUGAUACGAGCUGCCAUUAUCUGCAAUCGUAACUAUGGGUAAAGAAGAUAUUUUCAAAACACUGUACUUCUUUCUAUGGAUGUUUUUUGCAAGCUAUUAUUUUUGGGGGUCACAAGAGGAGACUGUAACACAUCCUAUCGACGAAUCAGGUUGGGUACCCGAUGGGGCAUUUGCAAGUAGAACUGUUGACGCAACAGAAGAUCAAGGAAGCUAGGAAUUUUUUAAUCUCAUUUGAUUCGAAGAACCAACGAACGUCAUAAACGAUUUUCAUGAAAUCCUUUUGUAGAAUCUUUUGUUUAGAGCUAACACUUAGGUGUACACCAUAGAAGAGUAAAGGUUUUGUAAAUAUUACGUAUA
Long non-coding RNA from Megalopta genalis, 954 nucleotides. RefSeq lists it as uncharacterized. NCBI's taxonomy places the organism in Eukaryota, Metazoa, Arthropoda, Insecta, Hymenoptera, Halictidae. The record is from RefSeq and is a predicted model, not a curated record.